Molecule: long non-coding RNA, 422 nt
Filed under: Cricetulus griseus (Chinese hamster)
Lineage: Eukaryota; Metazoa; Chordata; Mammalia; Rodentia; Cricetidae
Description: lncRNA (ENSCGRG00015037457.1)
Source: RNAcentral
AUCAAGUACACCUCCAGCGUGACACACCUGCCCAUUAGCCUGAAUCUAAAGUGCCCAGAGAAAUGAAAGAAAAUUGUUUGCUGUGAAGUCUAAUUGAAAAAUCUGCUUGAAAUGGUCCAGGAAGUAGCCCAAAAUAGGUUUCACACUAAUGUAUAUCAGGAUCCUUUGCCAAGAUAUCCUAAGUUUUCAAUCUGGUGAACUCUGGAGAAGGAUGCUGAAUACAGGAGGCAAUAAGGACAUAGUGAUUUACUGAGAGCCAUCAUUUCUUCACUCAAGAAGGGAAAGGAAAAAAGUUCCGGUGAAGAACAGGCAACACAGAGGUCAGAGGGCAUCUACUUUGCUGUUGCCAGUUUGUGAAGCACGAAGAAAGAAGUGACUGGUGGCAUCGCAGAGACACUCCUCUGAGACAAAACAAAUACACA